GAUUUGUUCCAUCAGAUUGGAAGGAAUCCUAGAGGCGAAAAAGCUUGUUGAAGAAGACGAAAGAGAAGUAAUGGCAUUUUUGAGGGGAGAACCAUUGAUAACGAAGCUUGCAGUGCUGGCUAAGCACGUUAUUCUUCCAGGUUCCAUGGUGGCUGCUUUGAUCUACUCUCCUCCCGACUAUUUUUACUAUUCCAAGACAGAUAAAUCAUCCAAAUAGGUAAUGACUGAUGGCUAGAUCAGCGUGGAAUUGAACAUGAACUCUUUUCAGUGCGGAAUAAACCCAGGACCCAAGAGUCACUGGAUUUAUGUAAUGGGUUUUUUUGGAUUGAAACUCUUGUACUUGUUUUUAUUGGUCUCUCUUUACAGUGUGCUUAGUUCCAAAACUUCUACGGUAUUUCUCUUUUGAUCAAAUGUGGAAUCAGUAGAUUUGUGGAAUGAAUAGGUUUUGCCAUA
Molecule: long non-coding RNA, 453 nt
Organism: Tripterygium wilfordii
Lineage: Eukaryota; Viridiplantae; Streptophyta; Magnoliopsida; Celastrales; Celastraceae
Exons: 2
Source: RefSeq, a predicted model, not a curated record